CCAUCUUUGAAUAGAAUUUCUGUGACUGUGUUUGUUGUCAAAAGUUGCACGUGCAGAAAGGUUCACAAAUAUAUAUACAUUUUUUAAUUGACUGUCUAUUUAUCAUAAAAAAUUAAGUUUACGUUUAAUACUGAUAACACAGAGAGAACGUGAAGCUGAUUUCACAUCCCCUUCUUCCGGAGCGAUUCAACAACAACAGGAUGCCCGGUCGAAAGAAAAGUUUAAUUAGGGAGGCCUACGACAAGCACAUAUCAGAGAGAGCGGUCUCGUACCAGAGAGUGGUCAACGUUGUGGAGAGGAGGACUGCAGUAACAACACCUGAGCAUGAAUAUGACAGAGAAUUUGAAUACGAAACCAGUCGCUAUAGCAGGAUUCAAAGUUACCAUGACAAUGACCAGAGAGGAUACCAUAGCGACAGCAUUCACCUGGGAAACGAUCGUGGAUACCAUGGCCACAGUACUGCCAUAGGUAGCAUCAGAGGGCGGAACUCCCCAAACCCCCGACAGGAGGAUUACAGAGAUUCAUACUACAGGGCAUUCCGAGAUGACGUUCCGGUUGGACUUCAAGGAGAGAGGAGGUACAUCAGGGGUGCCCGUUCCUUAACAAGCUUUUGGUUAAUGAUUGUGAAGAUGCUUUUAUGUCUCCGGCGUUUUUUUAUACUGACUCCCUGUGGAAAUCCAAUCCACAAGCACGGUGUUGCAAAUGCCAUUCUAAACCAAUGGUGUCAAACAGGAUUUGUGUUUUGCGUUUUGUCUGAGAUGUUAUACUAUGAACCACCAGGUGGCAGCAUAGUCUUAACCAUUAGCUAACCCCCAUGAUGAAUAGGGCCUUGUGUUUGCUGAGGUUUCUGAGAUGAGGUUUUUUUUUUUUCUUCAAAAUAAUGUCUCUUUGUGUAAUCCAUAACUUUGGUCAUGUAAUUUAUGGCAUUAGCUUAAAAAUGUAUCAGUUUAAAUUAUCGGUCUGUGCUUCCUGGACAAAUAAUUCGGCAACCAUACAUGCUACCAACCUGUGGAUGGUCUCAUCUGUUGGGGGAGAUACGACAGAGUAACAGGCUUUGAAUGGUGUCAAUCUGACAUGCCUAGUCUGAAUGGAAGGUCAAUAUGAGGCUGUUUGCUCUUGUUUCAUACUGUAAUUCCACUUAUAAGUCACCUUUCCCUUGGGGACCUGGAACCCCUUCCUCUCACACAGUAUCGCUAAACCCUGUGGAUGUGCCCUGGUGCUGCCAAGACAGCCGUCUAGAGGCCCUUACACGGUGAAAGACCCAAGGUGUUCUCUGUGGCUUGUUCCUAAUCUUGAGCCACACAGAAGAACCCAGAAGUACAUGUCAUAACGGGCUGUUUGUGUGAAGUGUGUUGCGGCCUCAGCAAACGCCCUCUUCAUGAGUACCAGCAGUUCACAGGCCAAGACCACCUCCACUCACUCCUCCGCAUCCCUCGCCUCACACCUCCGCUCACCCCUCUGCUCCCCUCCACUCACCCCUCGGCUCCCCUCAGCUCACCCCUCCGCUCCCCUCAGCUCACCCCUCCUGGCUCCAGACGGACAAAGGGCACCAGUGUCUACUCGCUGAGCCUACAAGGCUAAACCCCCACAGGAAAACCAGCUGGGCCGCCGGCCACUCCCUCCCUUGCCGAAAAACAAUCAUGGCUCACGGUUCUCUGCCCGCUGCGCUGGAGGGGGUGUCACUGUGGAAUGAUGGUAAUGACCGCCUAUGGCCGUAGCUGCUCCUUUGGCUCGGAGGCAAUGCUUGAGGCUCGUAGGCUGUGGAGGUGGUGUGUGGGUUUGCCACUGCGGCAGAUGGGCACCUGGGUCUGGUCUCUCAGUAUUUAGUGUUGUCUGGAGGUUAAUGGGAGGGCCUUGGCCCUGCAGGGCAGCCAGCAGAAAGCAGACUUUGGGAGGUGGUGGGCCUCUCAUUUUGGCUGGAGGCUGUAGAGGCCAGGCAGCACGGACGAACAACAAAGCCCCAUUACUUUCCUCAAACUCAUCUGAAGAAGGGGUUCUCUGCAGUGUGUGUGUGUGUGUGUGUGUGUGUGUCUGUGUGUGUGUCUUUGAGGCAACCUUUGUGGAGCUCUUGACCUCCUGUGAUGAAUAGCAGAUAAUGAGGGAAAAUGGAGAGCUGUAUUAAGUGCCAGAAGUGCAGCUGGUAAUGAGUCAACUGCUCUGUCUUUGAACCAUCAAAGUCCCCUCAGCCAGACCCCGCCACACGCGCCUCUAAUGCUUUUCUUAUAAACUCUCUUUGUAAUUCGAGCCAUAAUUGCCGUCACGUCAUAUUUGUGCGUGAGGCCGAUCGCACUGAUAUCUUAUUG
Esox lucius (northern pike) is the source of this 2303-nucleotide long non-coding RNA. The record is from Ensembl. Lineage: Eukaryota; Metazoa; Chordata; Actinopteri; Esociformes; Esocidae.